This 445-nucleotide ribosomal RNA is filed under the name uncultured bacterium. Its description in RNAcentral is "partial 16S ribosomal RNA". It matches the Rfam family "Bacterial small subunit ribosomal RNA", at positions 354 to 796 of the family's 1533-position model. The record is from RNAcentral.
GUGAGGAAUAUUGCGCAAUGGAGGCAACUCUGACGCAGCCAUGCCGCGUGCAGGAAGAAGGCGCUACGCGUUGUAAACUGCUUUUAACCGGGAAGAAACCCCAGGACGUGUCCUGGGUUGACGGUACCGGAGGAAUAAGCACCGGCUAACUUCGUGCCAGCAGCCGCGGUAAUACGAAGGGUGCAAGCGUUAUCCGGAUUCAUUGGGUUUAAAGGGUGCGUAGGCGGAGCGUUAAGUCAGUGGGGAAAUCCUGCAGCUUAACUGUAGACUGGCCAUUGAUACUGGCGCUCUUGAGUGCGCUUGAAGUGGGCGGAAUGUGCCGUGUAGCGGUGAAAUGCUUAGAUAUGGCACAGAACACCAAUUGCGAAGGCAGCUCACUAAGGCGAUACUGACGCUGAGGCACGAAAGCGUGGGGAUCGAACAGGAUUAGAUACCCUAGUAGUCC